GGAUUAGAAACCCCGGUAGUCCACGCCGUAAACGAUGGAUACUAGGUGUGGGCGGAGUCGAAUCUGUCCGUGCCGAAGCCAACGCGUUAGGUAUCCCGCCUGGGGAGUACGGCCGCAAGGCUAAAACUCAAAAGAAUUGACGGGGGCCCGCACAAGCAGCGGAGCAUGUUCUUUAAUUCGAUACAACGCGAAGAACCUUACCUGGACUUGACAUGGCACUGCAAGCGCACGGAAACGUGUGACCUUCGAGGUGUGCCACAGAUGCUGCAUGGCUGUCGUCAGCUCGUGUCGUGAGAUGUUGGGUUAAGUCCGCAACGAGCGCAACCCCUACCC
RNAcentral lists this ribosomal RNA (333 nucleotides) under uncultured bacterium. RNAcentral describes it as "bacterial SSU rRNA". It matches the Rfam family "Bacterial small subunit ribosomal RNA", at positions 775 to 1110 of the family's 1533-position model. The record is from RNAcentral.